Molecule: unclassified non-coding RNA, 232 nt
Filed under: uncultured fungus
Lineage: Eukaryota; Fungi
Description: sequence contains ITS1, 5.8S rRNA gene
Rfam family: 5.8S ribosomal RNA (bases 184-232)
Source: RNAcentral
UCUCCGUAGGUGAACCUGCGGCGGAAUCAUUACUGAGUGAGGGUCUCCGGGCCCGACCUCCCAACCCUUUGUCGAACACAACCGCGUUGCCUCGGGGGGCGUCUCGCCGCUCCCGGCGAGCACCCCCGGAGGAUCACCAAACUCUGCGUCUUUGCGUCGGAGUAUUGAAUUGAAAUCAAUCAAAACUUUCAACAACGGAUCUCUUGGUUCUGGCAUCGAUGAAGAACGCAGC